AUACGAGUUUGAUCAUGGCUCAGAGUGAACGCUGGCGGCGUGCUUAACACAUGCAAGUCGAACGGUAACAGGAAGUAGCUUGCUACUUUGCUGACGAGUGGCGCACGGGUGAGUAAUAUAUAGUUAAUGUACCUCAAAGACUGGGAUAGCCACUGGAAACGGUGAUUAAUACUAGAUAUACCUUUAUAACAAAAGUUGUAAAGGGAAACGUUUUUUCGCUUUGAGAUCAGACUAUAUCCCAUCAGUUAGUUGGUAGUGUAAGAGACUACCAAGGCAAUGACGGGUAGCGGGUUUGAGAGGAUGAUCCGCCACACUGGUACUGAGACACGGACCAGACUCCUACGGGAGGCAGCGGUGAGGAAUAUUGCACAAUGGAGGAAACUCUGAUGCAGCAACGCCGCGUGGAGGAUGACGCAUUUCGGUGUGUAAACUCCUUUUAUGAGUCAAGAAAAUGACGGUAGCUCAUGAAUAAGCACCGGCUAACUCCGUG
This 490-nucleotide ribosomal RNA is filed under the name uncultured bacterium. RNAcentral's name for it is "bacterial SSU rRNA". It matches the Rfam family "Bacterial small subunit ribosomal RNA", at positions 1 to 507 of the family's 1533-position model. The record is from RNAcentral.